This 402-nucleotide ribosomal RNA is filed under the name uncultured bacterium. RNAcentral's name for it is "bacterial SSU rRNA". It matches the Rfam family "Bacterial small subunit ribosomal RNA", at positions 375 to 774 of the family's 1533-position model. The record is from RNAcentral.
ACGCAAGUCUGAACCAGCCACGUCGCGUGAAGGAAGACGGCCCUACGGGUUGUAAACUUCUUUUGUAAGGGAAUAAAGUGAUUCACGUGUGUUUCAUUGCAUGUACCUUACGAAUAAGGAUCGGCUAACUCCGUGCCAGCAGCCGCGGUAAUACGGAGGAUCCGAGCGUUAUCCGGAUUUAUUGGGCGUAAAGGGUGCGUAGGCGGAUGCUUAAGUGAGAUGUGAAAUACCUAGGCUUAACUUAGGGGCUGCAUUUCAAACUGGGCAUCUAGAGUACAGGAGAGGGAAACGGAAUUCCUAGUGUAGCGGUGAAAUGCGUAGAGAUUAGGAAGAACACCAGUGGCGAAGGCGGUUUCCUGGACUGUAACUGACGCUGAGGCACGAAAGCGUGGGUAGCAAACA